ACUUUCAAUUCAUUUCAAUCAAAGAUCUUCAAGUUUUACGAUCCAUGAUCGUUGGAAUGACGAGAGUCAGUUGGCCGAACCGAUGAUGGAUUAAGGAUAAUGGAUGUUUUGAAUCUAAAGUUUCUUUCGUGUAUUUUGUUCAAGGAAUGUUUCCAUCUAUUUCUCUUAAAGUAUCAUGUAUAAAUUUUGUACAUGACAUGAUGUAAUAUGGUAUUAAAAGUAAAUUAUGUGAAUA
Molecule: long non-coding RNA, 235 nt
Organism: Olea europaea var. sylvestris
Lineage: Eukaryota; Viridiplantae; Streptophyta; Magnoliopsida; Lamiales; Oleaceae
Exons: 2
Source: RefSeq, a predicted model, not a curated record